Etheostoma cragini (Arkansas darter) is the source of this 95-nucleotide long non-coding RNA. RefSeq lists it as uncharacterized. Lineage: Eukaryota; Metazoa; Chordata; Actinopteri; Perciformes; Percidae. The transcript has 3 exons. The record is from RefSeq and is a predicted model, not a curated record.
UCCAUCAAAACGUGUGUCAACUUGCGUUGCUCUGGACCCGGCUCAAAGUCACCCAUUUUUGGCUAAACACAUCUGCUAACUGUUUCUGAUACUAC